This 329-nucleotide ribosomal RNA is filed under the name uncultured eukaryote. RNAcentral's name for it is "partial 18S ribosomal RNA". It matches the Rfam family "Eukaryotic small subunit ribosomal RNA", at positions 1470 to 1796 of the family's 1831-position model. The record is from RNAcentral.
CCCUUAGAUGUCCUGGGCCGCACGCGCGUUACACUGAUGCAUUCAACGAGCUUAUAACCUUGGCCGAGAGGCCUGGGCAAUCUUGUUAACGUGCAUCGUGAUAGGGAUAGAUUAUUGAAAUUAUUAAUCUUGAACGAGGAAUUCCUAGUAAACGCAGAUCAUCAAUCUGCAUUGAUUACGUCCCUGCCCUUUGUACACACCGCCCGUCGUACCUACCGAUUGGAUGGUCCGGUGAAUAUCAUGGAUUGAGGAUUAUAGCAGGUUCGCCUGUCUUGAUCUUCGAGAAGUGAAGUAAAUCUUAUCAUUUAGAGGAAGGAGAAGUCGUAACA